AUGAAAAAUAAGUAAUCAUAAAUUAUUUAUUGGCUCUUCUUUUUCAUCAGUAUAGAAAAUAAAAUUGUGUGUUGUACAUGGGUUCUGGUCUCCUAAAAAGGCUUAGAAAAAAAUGGCAAACCUAUUAGUAGUGGAUUGUAUAGUGUCUCCCAAAAAUUCAGAAUAAGACCUUGUUUGGAAAUAAGGUCUUUGCAGAUGUAAUUAAUUAGUUGUCAUCCUGGAUUUCAGGUUAGCUUAAAAUCCAAUGACUGGUAUUUUUAUGGGAGAAAUGAGACGGACACACAGACCCAGAGGAGACAGAGACACAGAGUAGGACUUGUGAAGACAGAGGCAGCAGAUAUUAGAGUUAUGUUGCCACAAGCCAAGGAACACCAGGAGCCACAGGUAGGUAGAAGAGAAGAAUUGUCUCCUAGAGCCUGUGGGGGACCUGGCUGUACUAACACCUAAAUUUCCGUUGUUUUAAGACACUCAGUUUAUGUUAAUUUGUUACACCAGCCCGAGGACACAAAUACUCUAGGGUACAAAGGUCUGACUUCCUAGCUUAAUUUGAGAUAAGCUAAGAGGGUCAUUUCAGCUCCAGAACUACCCACGGAAUCCGCUGAGGCUGCUUCCACUAUUGCAUCACAGUUCAGCUUCUUUGCUGCUCAAUCCUACAUACUUUAUCACUUCACAUUUGUUGUUUCUGAAAGAGUUCCCCCAAUAAACCUCCUGUACUCAGUCCUCUACCAAGAGUCUGCUUCCGGGGGAAUUUGCCCUAAGAUAGUCGUAACAGGACUGGCCCUAGGAAGGAGACUCUAAAAUGAUAUUUUGGAGCUCCAUCAUCCACUUGCUGGUUUACAAUGAUCUCAUCAUAGACAGCAGAGAAGAGCAUCUCUCUCAGAGGAGGCACUGAACAGCCAAAUACACAGAAGAACUUGUUCGGUUGACAUCCUUCCAUCAGCUUCUGCUAUUGGCCACCUGGAUGCUGGUAAAAUGGGCAGAGAGGUAUAUCAGCCACAACUGUAAACUGGAGAGAACAAGAGCCUCCUAUCCUCUAGGAUUGCUGAAAAAGGAUAUAGUCUCUAAUCUGACUUUCAUCAGUAAUGAAGAUCGUUUUUAUUUUUAAAUUUGAUCUGCCUACUAUGUCUAGUGCUCCUUUGAUUCCAAACUCAAAUAGGAACAACACCAAAAAACAGUAUGAGUUACUGUCCACUCCCUAAACCUGCAACACUAACAGAAGAGUGCUAUUUCCUCCAAUAACUGUUCACUUCCUUCCUAUGACACGUAAGAUACCUAUGAGCAACCCAGAAGGGGGCUACAAUAGAGAUACUGUUAGGGCUGAUUAUGUAUGAUUCUCGAAGCGCUAGCUUGACCUCUACCUUAAAUAAAACGUAAAGAUAUA
This 1381-nucleotide long non-coding RNA is filed under the name Homo sapiens (human). RNAcentral's name for it is "HSALNT0298229". The record is from RNAcentral. Lineage: Eukaryota; Metazoa; Chordata; Mammalia; Primates; Hominidae.